GUCAAAGCUUAACUAAUCAUUACUACAUAAUUCUUAUAUUUACAUAUACCCCUUCUACAUUAUUAAGCAAUUCUACAUUACUGUAGAAAUUUUUAUGUUAAAACUAGUAACAAGAAGACAAACUUCUCUUAAAUGUAAGUGUAAAUCAGCAAGGAUAAUCCACUGAUAUUUAUCGUGAUUGAAUUUAAAGUAGCAACUUAUCAAGAAAACUCUACCCUAAUACACGUUAACCUAACACAAGAACAUCUCAAGAAAGAUUAAAAGAAAAAGAAGGAACUCGGCAAACCUUAACCUCGCCUGUUUACCAAAAACAUCGCCUUUUGAUAUAAAUAUAAAAGGUCCAGCCUGCCCAGUGACAUUGUUCAACGGCCGCGGUAUCCUAACCGUGCGAAGGUAGCGUAAUCACUUGUUCUUUAAAUGAGGACUAGUAUGAAUGGCACCACGAGGGUUAUACUGUCUCCUUUCUCUAAUCAGUGAAACUUAAUCCCCCCGUGAAGAAGCGAGGAUAAAUUUAUAAGACGAGAAGACCCUAUGGAGCUUUAAACUAAAUAACAUAUAAUACCCAUUUUCAAGAAGCAUCAUGAUUAUUAGUUUUAGGUUGGGGUGACCGCGGAGUAAAAAACAACCUCCACAUUGAAAGGAUCCUAAACUUAGAGCUACAUCUCCAAGUAUCAAAAAAUUGACACCAAUUGACCCAAUUUAUUGAUCAACGAACCAAGUUACCCUAGGGAUAACAGCGCAAUCUACUUCAAGAGCCCCUAUCGACAAGUAGGUUUACGACCUCGAUGUUGGAUCAGGGUAUCCCAGUGGUGCAGCCGCUACUAAAGG
Molecule: ribosomal RNA, 828 nt
Filed under: Melanophryniscus rubriventris
Lineage: Eukaryota; Metazoa; Chordata; Amphibia; Anura; Bufonidae
Description: partial 16S ribosomal RNA
Rfam family: Bacterial large subunit ribosomal RNA
Source: RNAcentral